AGAUCAAUUUGUCGGUCGUGCCUCGGUACGUACUGGUAUUAUUGGUUUCUACCUUCUGAAGAACCUUGAUGUCAUUAAUUUGGUGUCUUGGGAGAUCAGGACUGUUACUUUGAAAAAUUAGAAGUGUUUAAAGCAAGCAUACGCUUGAAUACAUUAGCAUGGAAUAAUGAAAUAGGACGUUUGAUUCUAUUUUGUUGGUUUCUAGGACCGAAGUAAUGAUUAAUAGGGAUAGUUGGCUGG
This 240-nucleotide ribosomal RNA is filed under the name uncultured Glomeromycotina. RNAcentral's name for it is "partial 18S ribosomal RNA". The stretch from base 46 to 240 matches the Rfam family "Eukaryotic small subunit ribosomal RNA", at positions 693 to 889 of the family's 1831-position model. The record is from RNAcentral. Lineage: Eukaryota; Fungi; Glomeromycota.